Molecule: long non-coding RNA, 3101 nt
Organism: Mauremys mutica (yellowpond turtle)
Lineage: Eukaryota; Metazoa; Chordata; Testudines; Geoemydidae
Exons: 4
Source: RefSeq, a predicted model, not a curated record
GGCAGCUACAGGAAAGGCUGGGAGCCAUCACUGAAGAGCUCCACAGCAUCAGACAGGGGAAAUCUGCCCAGAGACCAAUUCCCUGGCAGAAGCAUCCAAGGGAAGGUUACCAUGCAGAAGAUGCCUGCAAGAGAUAGCAAGCAGCCCAGGGAGGCAGCAGGAAAUGUAAGCAAACAGUUCUUGACUGCCCAACUCAGAGAUCCCAGAGGGCAGACUUGCAUCCCCCCGCCACUCUUCGCAGGGAAGGGAAUAGAGACUGCUGAAGCUCCAGGGUGUUGGUCACAACAUAAGACUACUGAACUUCAUUUUUGUUCCUGCUUCAAUUUCCUUUGUUCUUUCCCUGACAAGGGAGGGAAAGGGACAUAUCGGGCCUGAGACUACCAACUGGAGGCCCAUUACAGGACUCUUCGGCACCCACCUCUUACUACCCCAAAAGAGGAGGGAGGGCUGGAGCCACAGAGAGCGGCUGAGCACUACAGGCCACAUUUCUAAACUGACACCGAUGGAAACCGAGGCAAAUGCCCAGCCACGAGGGGAUGCAUUGAAGGGGAGAAGCCAGAUGACAGAACAAUGUCAUUACCCAAGGACAAAAAGUGGGACCUAUUAAAAGGCAAAAGUCCAAUACUGCUCUGAAAGAAGUCCAUGGGAAGAACAUGGACAGGCCCAGUAUCAUUAUAACCUCUAUUUCAUGGAUUACUAUUAUGUACAAGGCCACAGCACGGCAACCUAUGACUUGAUUGAUUCCACUAACCAAGGCUCAUCUUCUAAGCCUCAGAUUUAUUUGUGGUGAUGCCAAUUCUCUUUACAGGAUUAAUACAUAUGUAUAUUUCAAGUGAAAUUCACCUGGUAAAAUUCAUACCAGAAUAGAGGGCUUGCACAAAACAACAAAAGCCUCUUAGUGGAACUUAAACUUACUACAUCGAGAUUUUGAGUGACUCAUUGGGCUUUCUGUGAGCUUUCUUCAUUGCCAUAAGUUUCACCUUUGUAAUAAUCAUGGUCUGCCAGAGAAAGCUGCAAUUGACAUUAGUCACCAAAUUCAGCAAUCUGUAAAAAUUCAAUCUAGACAAUAUAUUUGAUAAUGAGGCUCAUAUUCCCUUUCAAUUUUUCUUCCAUUGCAAAAACAUUCAACCCAUCAUUAGGGUGACCAGAUAGCAAGUGUAAAAAAUCGGGAUAGGGUGGGGGGGUAAUAGGUGCCUAUAUAAGAAAAAGCCCCCAAAAUUGGGACUGUCCCUAUAAAAUCAGGACAUCUGGUCACCCUACCCAUCAUGCAAACAGCCAAAAAGACCUAUAUACUGCAACUAUUAAGAGACUCUCCCUUUUACAGGACUAAAAAAGUCUAAGGGUUAUUUGGGUCACGUCAUAAUGUAAAAACAGUUAAACACGACAUGUGUAUGUGAAGGUGAGAGAGUGAGAUCAGUCGUGCUGGAGUAUAUGUGAACAUGCUAGCAGCCAAUCAGAAAAAAAACCCACCAUCUAAAAUUCUUAAGUAGAAAUGUAGGUAUUCUCCAUAUACAAUACCUCUAAAGAAAUUGUUUAAUGAAACUUCCUAGAACAAAGGCAACAAAAUAUGUAUUGGAAAAGUCAAUGGUAUAUAGCACAUAAUGUAUUGAACAUUUAGUAGAUGUGGAAAUGAAACUCCAGUACUUCUUUCAGAUCAUCUAUGUCUACCAUCUCUAACACCUGUAAUAGUGUUAUGGAACACGUUAACCCUUGUUAUUAAAAGGAUGAAACAGAAAUAUGAAUGUAUCUACAAAUAUAGGAUAUUAUGUUUUGCAGAAAUAUUCUGAAGUAUAAAGCAAAGUAUGGUGUACUCUAACAUCUUUUUCAAAAGGCAAGACAGUUGGAAAAGAUAUGACUUAUUAAUCAUACUAAGUCAUUUUUCAAUCUUUGUCCUUUAUUAAAUUACACCAAAAAUGUCAUGUUCAUUUUAAAAUUCCCUUUUCAUGCAAUUCCUUAUUUUAAUUUAAGUAGCAAUCAUAUCAAAAGAAAAACUGCUGUUCAAGGGAUGGGAAUUUGCUUAAAUAAUUACUGAAGUGGAACAGACUUUUCUGGUCAUUCUGACAUUAUGUCAUAUAUCACUGCAUUUUCAGAAAGCUUUCUGGAUGUGUUGUACAUCCAAAAAAUAAAUCAAGAAGAGAAGUAGAUAAUUUAUAGAGUUGUCAGGAAUCAGUUUUAACACUUACUUUUGCGAAGAUCUGAAAAAUGUCUAUUGCAGGUAGCAGCUGAAAAGUAUCCUGGAUCUCCACUCUCAAAUAAAGCUGCAAUGUCUGUGCCAGGUGCCUGAGACCCUCUUUCAUUUCUUCACUUAACUCUUCAAUAUCUUAGGGGAAAAAAAUACAGCAAAGCAUGAAUAAAACCUUCUGUCAACAUCUUUAAGAAGUCCAAUGGCAGCAGUUCAAUCUAGACAUUUCCAAUCCCAAUUUUAAUUUUGACAGAAAGUAAUUAUAUACCACUACUUUUGACAGCUGCAUAUCAUCACUAAGCAGAGUUUAUCAAGUUGCUACUUCCAAAUCACAAACAUUAUGAACAAAAUUUCAGAAGGGCAAGCCAGAAGAAAACAAACCAAUUGUACUAUGCAUUUACAGCCAUGUGGAUGGUGAUUACUUACUUGACUGAAGAUCAGAAAAAGAGUAGAGUUUCUCAGAAGGACAUGCUGCUGAUUGUCCAAGCUGAAGGGAAAAACCAAAAAUAAUGAAUGCAUGAUAAUAAGCAUUUAUAGAGCACAUUUUAUCUCCAAAGUACUGAAUUACUCAUUACCGUGAAAAUUCCCUUUGUGUGGCUACAUGAAUGGCCCCAGAAGGAAGGACAGAGAGUGUAUCAAGAACUGGAAGUGGUAGUUCAUGGGAAUCUGUGAACUGAUGGGUUGAAAAUAAACAUCUAAUUUUACGUUCUGUGUGAGUAAUCAGAUGAUUAUAAGCAAUAUAACACUAUGAAUAGCAUCAGAUGGAUGAUUUUAACUUUAAAUAACAAGGUGUCAAUAUCAGGUAGCAGUUAUUUUACUUUGGAGUAUCUUUCUUAUGCCUUCAAGUAAUAAAUUCGUUAAUAUUUUUUUCUUCCACAUGGGAGCCUUGUUCUUAUAUUUCUUUAUUUGUAACUCUACA